CAGUAGCCGCGGUAAUACGUAGGUGGCAAGCGUUGUCCGGAAUUAUUGGGCGUAAAGGGCUCGCAGGCGGUUUCUUAAGUCUGAUGUGAAAGCCACCGGCUCAACCGGGGAGGGUCAUUGGAAACUGGGAAACUUGAGUGCAGAAGAGGAGAGUGGAAUUCCACGUGUAGCGGUGAAAUGCGUAGAGAUGUGGAGGAACACCAGUGGCGAAGGCGACUCUCUGGUCUGUAACUGACGCUGAGGAGCGAAAGCGUGGGGAGCGAACAGGAUUAGAUACCCGUGUAGUCCCUGUCUCUUAUAC
This 301-nucleotide ribosomal RNA is filed under the name uncultured bacterium. Its description in RNAcentral is "partial 16S ribosomal RNA". It matches the Rfam family "Bacterial small subunit ribosomal RNA", at positions 509 to 807 of the family's 1533-position model. The record is from RNAcentral.